Schistosoma rodhaini is the source of this 45-nucleotide non-coding RNA. NCBI's taxonomy places the organism in Eukaryota, Metazoa, Platyhelminthes, Trematoda, Strigeidida, Schistosomatidae. The record is from Rfam.
AUCCAACUGACGAAUCUCAAAUAGAAUGAAAUGCACGUUCUGGAU